This 314-nucleotide unclassified non-coding RNA is filed under the name Hevea brasiliensis (rubber tree). Lineage: Eukaryota; Viridiplantae; Streptophyta; Magnoliopsida; Malpighiales; Euphorbiaceae. The record is from RNAcentral.
CAACAACCAAAGGCAAAGCCAAAAACUAAUGAAGCCAAGAAGGAUCUCACGAAUGUUCGGGUCAUUCAACGUAAAAUGGCAUAUGUGAUUGGCCUGCCUCUAAGUCUUGCAGAUGAAGAUCUUUUACAGCGGAAGGAAUAUUUUGGGCAGUAUGGAAAAGUUACCAAAAUUUCUCUCUCUAGGACAACUGGUGGUGCCAUCCAGCAAUUUGUUAAUGAUACUUGUAGUGUAUAUAUUACAUAUUCAAAAGAAGAGGAGGCCGUGCGGUGUAUUCAGUUUGUACAUGGUUUUGUCUUGGAAGAUAGAUAUUUGAG